Molecule: ribosomal RNA, 253 nt
Filed under: uncultured bacterium
Lineage: Bacteria
Description: partial 16S ribosomal RNA
Rfam family: Bacterial small subunit ribosomal RNA
Source: RNAcentral
UACGUAGGUCGCAAGCGUUGUCCGGAUUUACUGGGCGUAAAGAGCGCGCAGGCGGCUGGUCAAGUCCGAUGUGAAAUCUCCCGGCUCAACUGGGAAACUGCAUCGGAAACUGAUCGGCUUGAAGAUGGGAGAGGGUAGUGGAAUUCCCGGUGUAGUGGUGAAAUGCGUAGAUAUCGGGAGGAACACCAGUGGCGAAGGCGGCUCACUGGACCGGUAUUGACGCUGAGGUGCGAAAGCGUGGGGAGCAAACAGG